UCCCAUCAUCACAAGAAGGAUGAAGAAUCUGAGGCAUAGAGUGGUUAAGAAACUUGCCAAGGGUCAAACAGCUAUUGAGUGCUGGAGCCAGGAUUUAAUUCCAGGCAGCCUGACUCCAGAGUUCUGAGUUCUCAGGUACUACAAUGACCCCUGGCUUCUUCCUCUGGUCAUGGACCUCUUUAAUGUGACACCUGCUGUAGCCAUUGGGCCAGCAGUCUCGAGACAAUACAGCCAAGAGACAGAAGGAGCCUGGAGAGCCGGGGUCCCUGUGCGCAGCUUUGGGAGUUGAAUGGACCAGCACUGAAGCCCACCCUAUCUGCUGACUUCUUGUUUUGUGUGAAACAUAUUUCCAUCUUGUUGAAGCCAUUUUGACUCAGAAAGUACCCUAAUAGAGACACUGCUGCUGCCAGAAGAAACAGAAGGAGUGCAGGAAGACCCACUGGGCUCCAGGUAAUCUGUUCUCACAAACCACUCAGCCCAGGUUAAGACACAACUCUACGGCCUUUCACCAUGGGGGCCAGUUUUGAAGGCAGGAAAAACUGGUAAGAGAUCGUUGGAAAGGAUGGAAGAAAUUGCAGAGAAAAAUAAAAUUAUUUCAUAAUUCUCCUUUAUUAGGCACAGGUAAACAUACAUACUCAUGGUAUCCAAAACCUAGAGUAUGG
Molecule: long non-coding RNA, 662 nt
Filed under: Homo sapiens (human)
Lineage: Eukaryota; Metazoa; Chordata; Mammalia; Primates; Hominidae
Description: HSALNT0263239
Source: RNAcentral